UACAGAGGGUGCAAGCGUUGUUCGGAAUUAUUGGGCGUAAAGGGCGCGUAGGCGGUGCUGUAAGUCUGUAGUGAAAUCUCUGGGCUCAACUCAGAGUCUGCUAUAGAAACUGCAGUGCUGGAGUGUGGGAGAGGUGAGUGGAAUUCCCCGGUGUAGCGGUGAAAUGCGUAGAUAUCGGGAGGAACACCUGUGGCGAAAGCGGCUCACUGGACCACAACUGACGCUGAGGCGCGAAGCUAGGGGAGCAAACAGGG
This 254-nucleotide ribosomal RNA is filed under the name uncultured bacterium. RNAcentral describes it as "partial 16S ribosomal RNA". It matches the Rfam family "Bacterial small subunit ribosomal RNA", at positions 524 to 777 of the family's 1533-position model. The record is from RNAcentral.